Molecule: long non-coding RNA, 256 nt
Organism: Frankliniella occidentalis (western flower thrips)
Lineage: Eukaryota; Metazoa; Arthropoda; Insecta; Thysanoptera; Thripidae
Exons: 3
Source: RefSeq, a predicted model, not a curated record
CAAGCAGUGUUACCACCGCCUAAAUUUCCCUGCUCACCUCAGCGUUUUCCUCGCCUAGUACCAGGAGGUGCUCGUGCUCGUCGCGUCGUUGGAGUCGAGGGCGAGGGGUCGACGCGGCCCUGCGUCCUGGCCGUCUUGGCCUGGGCUACCUUCAGACCAGGCUUGGGUGCGGCUCUUGCUCAGCGCGGCAAAGGAGGCGGUCGGGGCGGCGGCGGCUUUAUAGACACCUGUAGCACACAGUACCCUACAGCAGCAA